This 41-nucleotide small RNA is filed under the name Arabidopsis thaliana (thale cress). RNAcentral describes it as "ATSL215560". The record is from RNAcentral. Lineage: Eukaryota; Viridiplantae; Streptophyta; Magnoliopsida; Brassicales; Brassicaceae.
CAGAGAGAGAGAGAGACGAAGAAGAAGAAGAAGAAACAAAA